Molecule: long non-coding RNA, 5663 nt
Organism: Cavia porcellus (domestic guinea pig)
Lineage: Eukaryota; Metazoa; Chordata; Mammalia; Rodentia; Caviidae
Exons: 4
Source: RefSeq, a predicted model, not a curated record
AUCAUGUUUGCAGGCACCAGGAAUCAGACCUUGAAAAUAUAUUUGGAGGGGAUAAAAUAUAACCCACAACAAUCCUGGUAGUCUGUAAUAACUUUCAUGAUAAGACAAAAUGAUAUAGAGCUACCUUUUCUCAUUUCCUAUUAAUAGACCCAUAAUAUAAUAUAGUAUACUAUAGGGUAGGAUAGUAUAGAAUCAGCCCUUUUAACUUGAAAAUGAUAUUUUGAGACCUCAAUUUUACUACUAGGAUGGCUUGUUACUGGCUUAGUCUGUACUUCUAAGCCAUUUCAAAUGCUAGAGAUUGGAAAUAAUUUUAUUUCUUACAGAUAAAAUAAUUAUAAAUACGUAAUACAUAUCAAAUUCAAGAUUUAACCUUAUCAAACCUUACAACUUCUCUAAUUGGAGAAUGUCCUGGUUCUCAAUAAUACAGUGCAUUUAUUUUAUUACACAACACACAUAAAAACAAUUUAAAAUAAUAAAACUAACAAUAUCAGCAACAUUAUUACUAAAAACAGUUUUAAAAUCUUUAAUUUUGCAUUUCCCCCCACAUUUACAUUGACAUUAUUGUGUAUUGUGUUAAUACACAAUAAAACUAUUUUUCUGCGUAGUUGUGCCAAAAGUUUGGUGUACUUUCAGGGUUACUUCUUUAAAUUUAUUUUCAAUUGUUAAGGUCUUUUACGAAAAAAAACCCUUUAUUUGUAAGUAUAUGUCAUGGUUUAUGUUGGUGGCCCCCAGGCCUCAUUCGUUUGCAUUGUGCAUUUGUGAUUGGUUCAUUGUCUAGUGCUUGGAUUGGAGGUGUGAGUGCUACACUGGCCUAUGGGUGGAGCCAGGAUGUAAUGUAUUGGUAGGAAGAGGUUGUGUCUCUCUCUUGCAGGUUUCUGCCUUGCUGUUUACAGCCGCCAUGAACUGCGGCCCUGCCACGCCACCCUGCCUGGGAGCCAACUAAAUAUGGACUGAAACCUCCAAAAACUGGUCUUGCUCUCCCUUGAACUCACUAUGCAGCACAGACUGGCCUGAAACAUAUGAAUCUCCUGUCUCAGCCUCCCAAGUGCUGGAAAUGCAGGCAUGCACCCCCACACCCAGCUGUACCUCAGACUACGUAAUACGCCUUAAGAUUCCUUCAUCAAAAUAUGCCUUCCCACCAAUCCAAAGAUUAACUUGCUAUUAAUUAGUCUGAAGUUUUGGAAGGAGUACCUGAAUGACCCUGCUUGGAUCUGGGUUUACAGUGUCCUGAUGUACUAUGGACAAGUGGCCGGCAUCCCCUUCUACAAAAGCGACUGCGAGAGGUUCAUUGUAGACAUCCAAGAUACUUUCCCAGAAAAAGGAGCCACACCAUGAAGAGUUAUCAGUGUCUGUCUGAGAAGAAGCCAGAGUUCUCUGUUUUGUUUCAUGCUCACCACAAUACCACAGUACCUCAAACUUUGCAUAAGUGCCACCAAAGGAUGUCUUAGUGUUCAGAUGAACUCAUGAAUGGUCUGGCCAGCUGGGUCUCUCACCCCUGGCCAGAUGCUCUUGUUCACUGCUGUCUUACAGUCUUGGUUGUGUUCUGUUCUGUUCGGCACACUACAUUCACACCACAUUAGGUCUUUCACUAGAGGGCUCAUUAAUGGCAUGCCUCUUAUUCUCAAAAGUGUCCUGGUUUUUAUAAACUAUAUGUUCUAUCUGUCCCGAAAGCACAAAUUUUACAGUGGUCUAAGGCAGAGAUUUUUGUGACUCUUGUUAGAUGUUUCCAAACAGUGCAGUUUGUGCUCCAACUCUACAUUUUAUAAAGUGACAGAGAAAUCCAAUUUUUAGUUUGGAACCCUAAAUUAACCAAAAGGAAGGGUGUUCAUUGAUUAAUACAAGGAAACAAGGAAAGAGCCAGAAGGCAGAGCUUGCUUCAGUAGUCACUUGAUCCAGAAUUUCAAACAUUAGAGACCUCACUCUUUCUCUGUGUUUUGUCUGUUUCUUUCUGUGAAAUAACUUUUUUCCCUUGGACUUAUCCCCAUGAGGCUAAAAACUUUCACACUGCCAGCAACCUUGUGCCUAUGUCCUCAAGCUUCACAAUCAAAGAAUUCAGAACUCCUGUUGAGAAGACCCUUGGAGAGAGCCUGUUGAUUAUUUGGGGGCAAAUGCCCAUCACCAGACCAGUCACUGUGGACAGAGGAUGAAGAAUUUGGGUUAGCAGCGCCACCAGCGUCCUGCUAUGACAAAGCACACCAAAUGAAGACACUGACCACAUAGAAUGUCCCUAGCGUUUACUAUCAGUCUAUUUUAUCCAAGACUGAGAAGUGGGGACAGAGCUGAAAUAAACAAUAGAAAGCCCAACAUCCUUCCUUUUCUACAACUAAGGUUUUCUGAUGAGCGCUGCAGAUCCAUGGACCACACUUUGAGCAGCAGAAGACUUGGAACAGCAACAAAUGGAAGUUACUCAAAAAGCAGGGCUUCAGCUUUGAACUGCUCUGUAGGAACAGUGCUGAAAAGGUUGCAUGGAGUAUCUUCAGGGGCAUAAGGACAGUAAGAAUUUACAGGAAUGACUGCUAGUCCAGAGCAGCCAAUAAUAAUCACCACAAUCAGGAGAUGCUAUUGCUGGGAACUUCCAGGAACUUUCAUUUGGAUCUGGCACCAAACAAAACUACGAAGGGAGAAUCAAGUUAACAAAACUACUUGGUAAGUUGGAAACUUCUUUGCACCCCGGCCCAAGUCACACUUGAGAAUAAAGAAAUUGACCAUUUUUAUCACUUUAUCUGGAGGAGGGGACCAGCCCUUCCAUGUGCUUCGUACUGAAAUUUAAAAGUAAUCAGUUCUCAAGUUUCCUCAUGGGCUUAUCUAUCCCUUCACUCUACCACAUGAUAAUUGAGUAUUAUUCUGUACUUUCCUCGGAUAUAGCUUUGAAUGUCUAGAAACUGAGUAGGGCUCCAGCCAGCAGUUGAGUACUAGAAUUGCAACCUGAUCCUCAUUGGAGAGGACAGUGUGACUUGAGAGAAGAUAGUUAUACUGGCAUGGUGCUCAUAAACAUCUUAGCUAUUAUAUAAAUCCCACGCCUAGUGUCAAUUGAUGUCAAUUUCAGAAAUAAGACCAUAUAUGAUUUAUUUGGAAUCAGGCACUGGAAAAGCCAAUGCUAUUACUGGAAGGAAUUUGACACCACUGAGCUUCUCUGGGAUAAAGUCUAAGUACACAGUAUUUUGAAAUGAAAUGGUAGCCAUAGAGAAUAUUAUAUGACUGAGGCUAUAACACCAUAACCAAUUAGAGAGUUUGGGAAAGGUUUGGUUGUGGACAGGGAAAGUAAGUGGGAGCUUGAGCCCUGGGCUGCAGUUCUCUUCCCUGUUAAAAAAGUCUUUGCCUGGGGUAUUUGAAAGGUUUGUUCCAAUCCUACCCUUUGAAUCAGGGUGCUCAGAAGAAUUAGUGCUGACCUCCAGAACUCUCAAACCCCUUAAAAACCAAUGCUCCUUGCGACUUGUGUCAGACAAGGGGCUUCCUAUUUGAAGAUCUGUGCUCACCUGCUGUCAUGAAGAAAGACAUCUCAGUCCACAUACUCAAAUGACCCAUGGGCAGGGAAAUGUGAAACAAACAAAAAAAUCACCAAUGGAGCUCUGAAAUCUCAGCAGAGUUGGGAGCACAAUAUGAGCUUAUUAUUAGCAGUAGCAAUCAGGAACUCUAUGGGGGAAGCCAUUAUAAUUUUCUCUUUGCAAAGAUGUGUUAGAGUCCACAGCUCACUGACAUUAAAUGACUUGUAUAAAGUUACAGGGUUGUAGAUAGAAGUGGAGAACAGAGGUUUCCUGGCUUUGUGUACCAAAAUCCUAUCCAAAACCUUGUAGAAUUGAAGUUAAUGGGGAGGGAAAUGAGAAGUGAUUAAGAAACAGAGAAACUAGAAGGGGAAAAAAAAACCCGUCAUUAUAGUUGGGGGUGUAUGUGCAAAAGGAAACAUGUAAUCAUCUCAAUUUGAGGGGCCUCAAUGUGUGGGCACACACAACACACUGGGAGAAAGGAAAUGGAAGACUGGGUUCCCUGGUCAAAGGAGUGAGCAGUGUAACUGUGGAAAUAGGACACAUAUAAUGGAUGUACAUAAUAACACAAGUAACAUAAGUACAAAAUAUAUAUCUAAGUGAUGACAGCUGUAUGAGGAGCCCGGAGGUAUGCAAGAGAGAAGAAGGGAGGUAAUUGGAAAAGUGUGUGUGGGUAGAAAGAUGAUUAAUAGAAAGCAGCAGUAUUUGCAUGUACCUGGGAAAGGCAGUGGCUGCUGAGGCAGAUUGAAGGCAGCUCCCUGGGGCCAACACAGAGGCCUCCACAGGGCUCCAAAUUUCUAGGACUGGAGAAAGUAGAGCAUGAAAUUUCCUCCCAGGCACAGUCUGCUUGGAAUGAGAAGAGGUUAAAUAAGUGAAAAGUCCUUUGUAAUAUAUGAGAAGAAAGGAAAAGACAAGCAAAGGGAUGGCUCAAAACCGCAUGUACAUGGGAGCACAGUUGUGAAAACAAUUGUGUCAAGAGUUUAUUUCCUUAGCUUCACUACUUGCUACUUUGCAAAGCAUGUUGUUGGCAUAUCUUUUAGCUUCCAACUUGAGAAAAACGUUUGUGAAGCUCAAAAGAUUGCAAAUGUGCAAAAUAAGAUUCUUAUUCAACAAACAAAACCUUACUGUUGGAAGCUGAGAGAUUUGGAAUAUGGUUGAUAGAUACAAAUUAAUGGGGAAAACAAUCCAACAACAUAUCUGUGCUGGCUGUACUUCCUGUAACAUAGAAGUUCUACUUGCACCUGAGAGAGGACAGGAAGCUCUCACAUACUCUCCUACUUCCUUUUCUUUUUUGUCCGGUUAGAUAUGUGCCUUGCUAAGCAUGGAACCUUUGUUUCUUCUAAAGAUGUGGCCCUUCACCUCAAUACAGGUUCAUUCACAUUGGGGCCCACUAAACAGACAGUGGCUUGGCAUGGCUGAUGAGGCCCUUCAUGUGACACACAGUAGUCAGGGACAGAGACCUUUUGGUUUCUGUAGUGUGCUUGCAGCGAAUCAGAGCUUUCAAUAUAUUCAGUUGGGAUUAGCAUGUCAGAGAUUGAUGCCUUGGAAGGAAGGCAAAACACACGUCUUUCCAGGAGAGGCAACGCAAUGGACGGCAUGAGUGAUGAAGCACUGGGCUGUGUGCUACACACAUCUACCUCACUUCUGGGUGUAGACCUAAGGUGACAAAAUCUGUACUCACUUGCAUCAUAACCUGCUUGAGUUCUGGAGCAUAACAGUAUAGCCUGAUGAAUUGGCACCAGGAUGGACCAGAAAUUGAUGUUCCACAUUCCCAGAUAUUCCUGAUCCCUUUAAAACUAAUGACUUAGAGUGACUGCAUAGGAGUAGAGGUAAUUUACUGUAAGAAGCCAUCUUUAUCAAAUUGUUGGCAUCCUGGAUAACAUACUCCCUGUUGUGGUUUGUGUCUAGAUGUCCCCCCAAAGGCUCUUGCAAUCUUAGAUGGGGCUUUUCAGAGGGGAUUAAGUUUGUGAUUGAUUCAAAAUCCAAUGCUGAGAGUAAGAGUGUGAGUAUAAGGGACAGAAUGAGGACCGUCCCUUCUCUUCCCCUCACAUUGCUUUUGCUGUCUUCAUCUCCAUGAAUGGUUGCCCAUUUGCCAUGUGCCACCUGGCCUUGGAGCCAGCCGAUUAUGGACUGAAACCUCUACAAACUGUGGGCCAAAUAAAUCUUAUCGCCUUUAACGUU